This 714-nucleotide ribosomal RNA is filed under the name Triticum aestivum (bread wheat). RNAcentral describes it as "partial small subunit ribosomal RNA". The record is from RNAcentral. Lineage: Eukaryota; Viridiplantae; Streptophyta; Magnoliopsida; Poales; Poaceae.
AUGUCAUGGGGAUCAGCUUGGGCUGGCCGCCCUGAUCGAGUGUUCACGUCGGUGGAGGACCCGCAGCAGCGACGCCUCGCCGAGUGGAUGGACCAAGACAAGCAGGCGCGGCAUCGCGCCGAGUUUGGCAUCCGUAUUGCAGCCAUCGCGGCGCAGGUGGCUUCCGAGAUGUCGGCGGCGGUAGCAUCGGAGGUGUCGGCUGCCGUUGCCGCGGCGCUACAGUCUGCGCGGGCGGGGCACCACGAGUACCUCGACCUUGAGUCCACGACCACAUCGACCCCAACUGCUCCAGUGGCGGACGACCUCGCCUCUCCCACCGCAGCAUCAAAUUUGUCCGAGGUCAUCGUCGGUGUCGUCACCGAGUGUGGCUGCACCGACCUCGAGCCCACGGCCGCGACCUUAACUCUGACCUCCGCACUGGACAUCUCGGGCGCCUGUUCAGCGAUGAACUCGCUCGCGCUCCCUACAACCAGUGGCUGCUCCGCCGUGGUGCACACCACGUGUUCGACGCAAUGCGCAAGCCGCACCGUCACCAUGUCGGUGUCAGCGACAGCUCCAGCCACAAUGUCAGCUUCGUCCAAGGUCACCGGCGAUGUCGUUCCCGAGCUCUGCUGCCUUGACCUUGAACCAUCAGAUGUCCUCGAGCUUAUCAGAACGCCGCCCAAGUGUUCGACAGAAGGUUUGAAUGACGACCCCGUGGUCAUGCAUGAAUAG